GGAACAUCAAGAGAUUCAUAGAGGAACGAUCGAUCAAGGUAAAAGUAGUACAAGUGCGGAAAUUCCAAUUUAAAAAUCGUUGGCUCGAUGGCUACGUUGUUUUCUGGUAGCAUAAGUUACUGUAGGCAGUAAAGAAAGGAACAUGAAAAGAGAGAACAUGGAGAUUACUGAAACAGAAUUUUUGUUUCGAUUUUUCCCAUGGUGACCUCAAGUCUUCCGAGGGGGGUUUUUGUCUUUGAACUCUUUCUCCAGGUCCAUGAGCACACACAUUGGCUUACUGCAUCAUGGCACGCGGAAGUCGGGGCCUCACUGGUGUUUUUGAGGGACUCACCCUGAUGCGCUGGGAUCCCAAUACCUCACCGCAACAGUCUAAAGCCAAAAUUGCACUCUCAGCCAUUACAAACUCAACAAAAGCAAUGCGGGUCGAGUGCACGUGAUCUCCCAAAAGCCUCAGGCGAGAAACCUCGCCACAUCUGGUUUCAAAAAAAUUCUUGACAUCAGCCUGAGUAACCUUCUUAUCAAUAUUUGUACAAUAGACAGUCCUGGCACACAUUUCACGCUCAUCCUCUGACCUUGGAAGGAAUGUAGGAUUCACGGGUAGAAUAGCAGUUUUUGAAGGUAGGACCUUCAAUUGAGAGAAACCUAAAAUUGUCCCACAAAGGCAAAGUGCUGCUCUUGCAGAGUACUCAUCAGCAAACUCCACGAAAGCAAAACGAAGACGAGAAUGUGGAUCACCACAAAUUCGGCAGUCAACAACUUGUCCAUAAGCACUAAACAAAGCAGCAAGUUGCUCCUCAGUGACAUUGCUAUCUAUCUCAGAAACAUAUACUGUUCGCCUGAUGCUAUCUUCUCUUUGAGCCUUAUAAGCUCUAUUGUUCAUCCUCCUUUUCCCCUGGUUAAAGUUGCUGCCUCUCCUUCUGUUGUUUUGAAAACCAUCACCCCCCGUAGUCUUGUUAGCUGGUACAAAGUUACUGAGAAUCAUCUGAUCACCAGCACCAACAGUACCACGAUUAUAAGAAGAAGGAAAAAACUCCUUAGCCUGUGGAUUCAGCUUAAGUUUCUUCAACAUAUCAGCAAUAUCAUGCAUAUGAAACUCCGAUUUCGCAUUUGCGAUUGAAUCGGAUGAAUCCUUAACACCAUUAGAUUCAGAAUUAUUGCUGGUGUUAUCAGUGUUUGGUGAUGAUAAAGACUGAACAGCAGGAGCUUCAACCACUGUUGUCUCACCAGACACUUCUUUAGCACCAGCAGCCAUUGAUGAAAAUACUCAAAACCCACAAAAAAAUAAAAACACACCCAGAACAGAAAAAGCUUCAGAAAUACCAAGAAAACACUAAAAUUCUACAAUUUCAAUAAAUUAAAGCAACCCCUUUUCACCAAUUUGAUUAUUCUUUAUGAAAAAUCAAUCAAAUGAGGAAUUCACAGAGCAUAAUGGGUUUAUU
This 1439-nucleotide unclassified non-coding RNA is filed under the name Hevea brasiliensis (rubber tree). The record is from RNAcentral. Lineage: Eukaryota; Viridiplantae; Streptophyta; Magnoliopsida; Malpighiales; Euphorbiaceae.